UGAUAUUCGCGCUCAGUCCGAGUCUCGACGUCUCCAAAAAAGAUCAGAAUUCCUCGCAAAGACCUUUACAUUUCUCGAGUAUUCAUGCAAAAAGACCAUCAAGAAUGUUAUGAGAAACACUCUCACUCGAGGUGACAGCUUUAUGAUGCUGAAGAAAGCAGCGUUGACACUAAUCCGACUUAAUGCUCCUAUUUUUUAAGUUACUAAUUAGGAAAUAUCUCAAGACAAUUCCUGCAAGCUUGCGAGGAGAGCUGUUUUUGUAAAAUGCAGGAGCGACGGCGUUACCAAAACACGAUGCAACUGGAAACACUCGUUCUGCAACUUAUUCUGUUGCAAGGAGAUCCAUUUAUUCGAUCAGGUGCUGUAUAUACGGAAUACCAAUUCCGUUAAUUGCGUCCGUAGACUGUGUCGCUCUAUAUACCUGGUACUACUCGAUAUACUAUUUCAUUCGCGGACAGUAUGUUGACGAAUGACAAACAUGUUUCGGUCGAAAGAGAGUGAGAUCGACGUGAGAUUAAAUGCUUUCAAGAAUUACUUCAUGCAGCCGAAAUAGUUAACCGUGGAAAUAAGAGGAGUACUCUUUGAAUUAAGAGGAGUUAUUCUCGAGAAGAGGCGCAAGGAGAACAAACUUUUAAUCGCGAAAUAAACGAUUAAUGACUUGAGCAAGUUAUUCUCUUUGGAUUGAUCUUCUUGCGGCAAAGAACAUGCGCUAUAGCGAUAAUAAUUUAUUGUUUUAAGCUGCUUACUUAGACUUUGCUACCUCGGAAGGGUUAAACUGAUGAUGGUAUGAUGGCUGCACAAUAUGAAUAAUAGAAUAUGUAUAGAAACAUAAGAAUGGAAAUGAAGAUGCAUAUUAUAAAAAUAAGUUGAAAAAUG
This is a long non-coding RNA of Mycetomoellerius zeteki, 876 nucleotides long. RefSeq lists it as uncharacterized. The record is from RefSeq and is a predicted model, not a curated record. Lineage: Eukaryota; Metazoa; Arthropoda; Insecta; Hymenoptera; Formicidae. The transcript is spliced from 3 exons.